This 69-nucleotide transfer RNA is filed under the name Escherichia coli. RNAcentral describes it as "tRNA-Ile". It matches the Rfam family "tRNA". From Rfam's summary of the family: Transfer RNA (tRNA) molecules are approximately 80 nucleotides in length. Their secondary structure includes four short double-helical elements and three loops (D, anti-codon, and T loops). Lineage: Bacteria; Pseudomonadati; Pseudomonadota; Gammaproteobacteria; Enterobacterales; Enterobacteriaceae. The record is from RNAcentral.
GCUUGUAGCUCAGGUGGUUAGAGCGCACCCCUGAUAAGGGUGAGGUCGGUGGUUCAAGUCCACUCAGGU